ACUGUUGUGCUUUUUGUUGAUAUUUAUGUUGAUUGAAGUUCUAUGAUAGAUUGUAAUGAAAAUUUUGAUUAUUGUUGUGAUGGAGUUUGUCAUUUUUGAUUAAUUCUGUUUACCUGUUAUGUGAGAUUUAGUUUGUAUAGAUUUUGAAAAACCUGAUGAAAAAAGCAGUGCCCCAUUACCUAUUGUGAAUGGGACACUCGUUAAAUUCAGGAAUAAUGACUCGUGAAUCGUUCUUGGGUGAACCUCUGUUAUAUUUAGUGGCUGAAGGUUCAGUUAAUGAUUCAACAUUGUUUAUUGGAACAGAUAUUGACUAUUGAUUUUGUUCAUUUGUGUGCAAGACUGCUGUUGAAAAUGAAAUGUUUUAACUGUUAUCAGCUGAUUUCACUUUGUAAUUACUAGUUGGUUUGACAUUAGGCUAUAAAUUUAUGUGAAAUAGUUUUCUAAUUUAUGCCUGCGCCUUGUAUCAUUGUUGUUAGUUUUAUAACUUAAGCAGUGGAUUGUUAAUUGCACACAAAUGUUCUAAAAAAUGCUUCUAAAACAACCAAGAAUUACCCGCUGGCCAUACUACAUCUAGUCAUCUGUAACUUAAAUGUUAUUGAGCUAUGUUGAUGUCUGAUCAUUUUCAUUGUUAUAUUCAUUAGCAUUGAGAUUAUUCUGAUUUUCCCCCUAAUAAUCUUUGAACAUUCUGUUUGGAAAAAUGCUUGUAAACAGGGCCGUCUGGGGAAAUUUCAGGGCCCUGUGCUAAAAUAUGAAUUAGGCCUCAAAUAAUAAAAAAAAGAUGUAUAUUACAAAAAUAAAUAAAUAAUAAAAAUAUUAUUUUUUUAUAAAAUUAAAACAGGUUACUUAAAAUAAGAUAAAUAAUAUUAUUAAAUAAUCAAUAAUUAUAAUUUUAAACAAAACUAUUAUAUGAAUUUAUUUGAGAUAUAUCUAUAUUUCAUUGAAAAGAAUGAAAUUUAUAGUACAUAUGAAAAAAAAAUAUCAUAUCUAAAAAACAUUAUGAAAACAUUUAAUAAAAGAGUAAUUAUUAUAUAAAAAAUAAAGAUACAACACAAAAGAAUUUAAAAUGCAAAUAAACAUAAUAAACUAAUCAAGAUUAUGUAAUUAUUUAUCUACAAAUAAACAGAAUUAAAAUAAAUAUAUACUUUUCAAUUUUCAAUUUCAUUCUCUAAAUUUAUUUUUAUUAAAUAAAACACCGAUUUCUAAAUUUUGAGGCCCCUAUAAUUUUGAGGCCCUGUGCCGUCGCCCACCUUGCACGCCUCAAAAACCGGCCCUGAUUGUAAAAUAUCUUUAUAUAUCAGUUGAAUGGAAGAAAGAGGGGUAUCUUGUUGGUGUUUUGUAAAUCCUGAUGAAAAAAGCAGUGCCCCAUUACCGCAGUGAAUGGGACACUCGUUAAAUUCAGGAAAAGCAACUCGUGAAUCGUUCUUGGGUGAACCUCUGUUAUAUUAAGUUGCUGAAGGUUCAGUAAAUGAUUCAACACUUGUUUUUCUUGACAAUGAUUGUUUAUUAACUGUGUUCUAUCUGUGAAUUGAUUUCUGUCAGUAGUAAAAUGUCUGAACUGUUAUCAGAUGAAUUCACUUUUAAUGAUUGCUUUAACUUAAAGGAUAAAGCUAUAAAUUUAUUAAUACCUGUUUCCUAAUUAUGUCUGCUUCUUGUAUUGCCGGUUUUGGUCUCAUCACUUGAUUAGUGAAUUGUUAAUUGCACACCAAUAUUGUAAACAACUGUUAUUUAACAACUCAUAAUUGCUUGCUGAUUAUAUGACAUUCAGUCAUCAACAAGUGGGGUAAUUUCAAUGUUAUUGAGCAAUGUUGAUGUGAUCUUAUCAUUUUCACUGUUAUAUUUAGGAGCAUUAUGAUUACUCCAAUAUAUUGUUCUUAAAAAUCUUUAUGUUUUUAGUUUAUAAAAACUUCUUAUAUUAGUGGAAUGAGAGAGAUGGAGAGGGUUAUUUUGUUGCAUGUGUUUUCUAAAACCUGAUGAAAAAAGCAGUGCCCCAUUACCUCUGUGAAUGCGACACUCGUUAAAUUCAGGAAAAUUGACUCGUGAAUCGUUCUUGGGUGAACCUCUGUUAUAAAAAGUGGCUGAAGGUUCAGUAAAUGAUUCAACAUUUGUAUUUCUGGACAAUAAUAUACCAUUACUAAAUCCAUGACUUGGCUUCCGUCAGUUAUAGAAAGUUUCAACCAUUAUCAGCUGAUUUCACUUUGUAAUUACUCUUGUUUGACAUCAGGCUAUAAUUUUAUUUUAGGUAGUUGCCUAAUUUAUGUCUGCCUCUUGUUUCAUAGUUCGUUUUAUUACUUGAGUCUUGAGUAGUGGAUUGUUACAAAUGCACAUAAACACCGUAACAUAAGCUAUUCAAACAACCAAUAAUUGCUUGUGAGUUGUUUGUCUGUGACAUCCAGUCAUCUGUAUUUUUUGUUAUUUUAAUAUCGGUGAGCAAUGUUGACAUUAUCCAAUUAUUCUUGCUAUUAUUUAAAAAACAAUGUGUUUAUGAGAUUAAUUUUUCUAAAAUUCUUCCAAUAUCUUUAGAUUCAUUAAAAUGUAAA
RNAcentral lists this long non-coding RNA (2537 nucleotides) under Daucus carota (carrot). Its description in RNAcentral is "long non-coding RNA (DCAR_LNC001421)". The stretch from base 1349 to 1479 matches the Rfam family "Small nucleolar RNA snoR74". The record is from RNAcentral. Lineage: Eukaryota; Viridiplantae; Streptophyta; Magnoliopsida; Apiales; Apiaceae.